RNAcentral lists this ribosomal RNA (748 nucleotides) under uncultured bacterium. Its description in RNAcentral is "bacterial SSU rRNA". It matches the Rfam family "Bacterial small subunit ribosomal RNA", at positions 353 to 1117 of the family's 1533-position model. The record is from RNAcentral.
AGUGGGGAAUAUUGCACAAUGGAGGAAACUCUGAUGCAGCAACGCCGCGUGGAGGAUGACGCAUUUCGGUGUGUAAACUCCUUUUAUAUAGGAAGAUAAUGACGGUACUAUAUGAAUAAGCACCGGCUAACUCCGUGCCAGCAGCCGCGGUAAUACGGAGGGUGCAAGCGUUACUCGGAAUCACUGGGCGUAAAGCGCAUGCAGGCGGUUUAUUAAGUUGGAAGUGAAAUCCUAUGGCUCAACCAUAGAACUGCUUCCAAAACUGAUAAACUAGAGUCUGGGAGGGGAAGAUGGAAUUAGUAGUGUAGGGGUAAAAUCCGUAGAGAUUACUAGGAAUACCAAAAGCGAAGGCGAUCUUCUGGAACAGUACUGACGCUGAGAUGCGAAAGCGUGGGGAGCAAACAGGAUUAGAUACCCUGGUAGUCCACGCAGUAAACGAUGAAUGUUAGUCGUUGGGACUCUAGUAGUUUCAGUGAUGCAGUUAACACAUUAAACAUUCCGCCUGGGGAGUACGGUCGCAAGAUUAAAACUCAAAGGAAUAGACGGGGACCCGCACAAGUGGUGGAGCAUGUGGUUUAAUUCGAAGAUACGCGAAGAACCUUACCUAGCCUUGACAUACUACAGAAUUUGACAGAGAUGUUGAAGUGCCUUCGGGAGCUGUAAUACAGGUGCUGCACGGCUGUCGUCAGCUCGUGUCGUGAGAUGUUGGGUUAAGUCCCGCAACGAGCGCAACCCUCGUCCUUAGUUA